Aotus nancymaae (Ma's night monkey) is the source of this 104-nucleotide small nuclear RNA. Lineage: Eukaryota; Metazoa; Chordata; Mammalia; Primates; Aotidae. The record is from Ensembl.
GUGCUUGCUUUGGCAGCCCAUAUAGUGAAAACUGGAAUGAUACAGAGAUCAGCACGGCCCCUGCACAAAAACCACACGUGAACUCGUGAAGGUUCCAUAUUAAA